AGUAGCGGCGAGCGAACACGGAAGANNCCAGCGCUGAAUCCCCCGGGCCGGAUCGGUCCGGCGGGAAAUGUAGCGUUAGGGAGCGCCCGUCAACCCGGCGCGCGCGCGGCGAGCUCAAGUCUCCCUUGAACGGUGCCACAGUCCACAGAGGGUGCCAGGCCCGUACUGCCGCCGCCGCGUCCGAGUGGGCGUCUCCUAGGAGUCGGUCUGUUUGAGAACGCAGACCUAAGCGGGUGGUAAACUCCAUCUAAGGCUAAAUACGACCACGAGACCGAUAGCGCACAAGUACCGUGAGGGAAAGGUGAAAAGAACUUUGAAGAGAGAGUUCAAGAGUACGUGAAACUGGAGAGGUGAAAACGGAAGUGGCUCGAAAUUCCGAACGGUGGUGUUCAGUCUCACCGACCCCGGCCCCGCCGCCCGAUCCUGGGAUCAAGGGUGUGGCGCUCGCGCGCGGCCGCUCCUCGUGGGCGGUCGUGUCGUGGCCCGCUCCCCCCUCGGGCGGUGUUGCUGGGCUCGGGGCGGUGUGGAUGCACUCGCUGCCGUAGUAGGAUGUCGCGACUCGUCGGGUGACGGUCGUGAGGCCGGUCGGGACAGCCCGGUGUCCGCGUGUCUCGCACCUCUGAGGUGAAACGCGAGCGGUGCGGCCCGGACCCGUCGCCGUGUCCUCUCCGUCUGCCCGACGGUAUCGAAAGAAAGCCGGCGCACACGCCGCCCUCUCAAACGGCCCCCCCGUAACAAAAAUGGGGCGGGCAGGGGCGGCUCUAUGUUGCGCGCCGGCUGUCUGCGGCAUUGCCUGAUUCGGGUCCACUUCCGACCCGUCUUGAAACACGGACCAAGGAGCGUAACACAUGCGCGAGUCGAAGGGUGCCACUAAACCCGGAGGCGAAGCGAAAGCGUAAGGGACGAUGGCAAAGCGUCGCGCUCUCCGGUCGGUCCGCCGCUCGUCGGCGGGCCCUCUCGGAUCCGGCCGGCCCGCAGUCCCGGGGCACCUCAUACGGGUCCCGCUGGAUCUGGCCCGUCAAACGGCCUCCUCCGGCUCGACUCGAGGCGCACCUGCGAGCGUAUGUGUUGUUACCCGAAAGAUGGUGAACUAUGCCUGGCCAGGACGAAGCCAGGGGAAACCCUGGUGGAAGUCCGUAGCGAUUCUGACGUGCAAAUCGAUCGUCGGAGCUGGGUAUAGGGGCGAAAGACUAAUCGAACCAUCUAGUAGCUGGUUCCCUCCGAAGUUUCCCUCAGGAUAGCUGGCGCUCGGAGUGUUACGAAACGGUGAGACGAGUCUCAUCCGGUAAAGCGAAUGAUUAGAGGCCUUGGGGUCGAAACGACCUCAACCUAUUCUCAAACUUUAAAUGGGUGAGAACCCCGGCUUGCUUGAGACCGGUGCGCCCGGUCCGUGGUCGCUGCCUCGCCCCCUCAGACGGGGAAGAACGGGCCCGCCGGGUCCCGGGUACUUCAACACGAUGAAGCCGGGGACUUGAUUUGUUAUCCGGAUCGUGAGUGCCAAGUGGGCCAAUUUUGGUAAGCAGAACUGGCGCUGUGGGAUGAACCAAACGCAGAGUUAAAGCGCCUAAAUCGACGCUCAUGGGAGACCAUGAAAGGUGUUGCUUGCUUAAGACAGCAGGACGGUGGCCAUGGAAGUCGGAAUCCGCUAAGGAGUGUGUAACAACUCACCUGCCGAAGCAACUAGCCCUUAAAAUGGAUGGAGCUGAAGCGUCGUGCUUAUACUCUGCCGCCGGUGGCAAAAGCGGCCGGUAAGGCGGACGGCCCCCGUCGGUGACGGGGAAACCGGCCCCGAGCCUUUGAGGCCCCGGUGAGUAGGAGGGUCGCUCGGGUGCGCGCAGAAAGGGUCUGGGCGCGAGCCUGCCCUGGGAGCCGCCCCGAGGUGCAGAUCUUGGUGGUAGUAGCAAAUACUCCAGAGAGGGCCCUGGAGGGCUGAUGCGGAGAAGGGUUCCGUGUGAACAGCUGUUGCACACGGGUCAGUCGAUCCUAAGCCCUAGGAGAACUCCUAUGUGCGAUGUGCGGGUGUACCAAUCGGUUUCGAACUGAUCGACCAUCCCGUCGCCGGGCGAAAGGGAAUCAGGUUCCUAUUCCUGAACCCAGAUGCGGUACCGUUCCACCGGGCUUGUCUCGAAGCCGUCCGCCCCGCGCGCGGGAAGUCCUCUCGCAGGCUCCUCCCGUCGCGGCAAGCGUGGCGCGCCUAGGGCGAACUCGUCGGGGUAACCCGAACAGCCGCGGAGAAGCCGGCAGGAGCCCCCGGGAGAGUUGUCUUUUCUGUAUUACCGCGCAAGUUCCCUGGAAUUCCAUUGCGGAGAGAGAGGGAAUAGCGCGGGAAGAGCACCGCACUUGCGGCGGUGUCGGGGGUGACCUCUCGG
This 2369-nucleotide ribosomal RNA is filed under the name Strepterothrips tuberculatus. RNAcentral describes it as "eukaryotic LSU rRNA". It matches the Rfam family "Eukaryotic large subunit ribosomal RNA", at positions 82 to 1801 of the family's 3401-position model. The record is from RNAcentral. Lineage: Eukaryota; Metazoa; Arthropoda; Insecta; Thysanoptera; Phlaeothripidae.